Molecule: ribosomal RNA, 204 nt
Filed under: uncultured bacterium
Lineage: Bacteria
Description: partial 16S ribosomal RNA
Rfam family: Bacterial small subunit ribosomal RNA
Source: RNAcentral
AUUACUCCUACGGGAGGCAGCAGUGGGGAAUAUUGGACAAUGGGGGGAACCCUGAUCCAGCCAUGCCGCGUGUGUGAAGAAGGCCUUUUGGUUGUAAAGCACUUUAAGCGAGGAGGAGGCUCCCAGUAUUAAUACUACUGGAGAGUGGACGUUACUCGCAGAAUAAGCACCGGCUAACUACGUGCCAGCAGCCGCGGUAAUAAU